GGGCCUGUGGGUUAGCUUGGUAUACUUGCGGCUUUGGGAGCCGUUGACCCCGGUUCAAAUCCGGGCUGGCCCACCA
Molecule: transfer RNA, 76 nt
Filed under: Methanomassiliicoccaceae archaeon DOK
Lineage: Archaea; Methanobacteriati; Thermoplasmatota; Thermoplasmata; Methanomassiliicoccales; Methanomassiliicoccaceae
Also listed under: 3 other names
Description: tRNA-Pro
Rfam family: tRNA
About the family: Transfer RNA (tRNA) molecules are approximately 80 nucleotides in length.
Source: RNAcentral